RNAcentral lists this long non-coding RNA (206 nucleotides) under Panax ginseng (ginseng). Its description in RNAcentral is "long non-coding RNA (PGIN_LNC015425)". Lineage: Eukaryota; Viridiplantae; Streptophyta; Magnoliopsida; Apiales; Araliaceae. The record is from RNAcentral.
UCCUAUGGAGUUAUUGGGCCGUAUAGUGGGCUGAACCGUUUGUUGAGUAUGGUUCCACUUAGGCUUUGACCGGUGAUGAUUAUGGGGAUAAACUUUAACUGUCAUCUCUGCAUUGUAUUUAAUGAGGAUUGGACAGGGCUUAGUCGGCUACAGGCUGUGGGCCAGGGGAGGUCAGUGGCAUACAAAAGCAAGGAACUCACACAAAG